AGUAAAAGUCGUAACAAGGUCUCCGUUGGUGAACCAGCGGAGGGAUCAU
RNAcentral lists this ribosomal RNA (49 nucleotides) under Monosporascus cannonballus. RNAcentral's name for it is "partial 18S ribosomal RNA". It matches the Rfam family "Eukaryotic small subunit ribosomal RNA", at positions 1781 to 1829 of the family's 1831-position model. RNAcentral also lists the same sequence under 2 other names. The record is from RNAcentral. Lineage: Eukaryota; Fungi; Ascomycota; Sordariomycetes; Xylariales.